UGGGAACUCCCUUCGCCUUGUGCAAUUUGAA
Molecule: non-coding RNA, 31 nt
Filed under: Rattus norvegicus (Norway rat)
Lineage: Eukaryota; Metazoa; Chordata; Mammalia; Rodentia; Muridae
Source: RNAcentral